AUUGAACGCUGGCGGCAUGCUUUACACAUGCAAGUCGAACGGUAACAGGUUAAGCUGACGAGUGGCGAACGGGUGAGUAAUGCAUCGGAACGUGCCCGGUCGUGGGGGAUAACGCAGCGAAAGUUGCGCUAAUACCGCAUACGAUCUGAGGAUGAAAGCGGGGGACCGUAAGGCCUCGCGCGAUCGGAGCGGCCGAUGUCAGAUUAGGUAGUUGGUGGGGUAAAGGCUCACCAAGCCAACGAUCUGUAGCUGGUCUGAGAGGACGACCAGCCACACUGGGACUGAGACACGGCCCAGACUCCUACGGGAGGCAGCAGUGGGGAAUUUUGGACAAUGGGCGAAAGCCUGAUCCAGCAAUGCCGCGUGCAGGAAGAAGGCCUUCGGGUUGUAAACUGCUUUUGUACGGAGCGAAAAGGUCUCCUCUAAUACAGGGGGCUCGUGACGGUACCGUAAGAAUAAGACCGGCUAACUACGUGCCAGCCGCCGCCGUAA
RNAcentral lists this ribosomal RNA (492 nucleotides) under uncultured bacterium. Its description in RNAcentral is "partial 16S ribosomal RNA". It matches the Rfam family "Bacterial small subunit ribosomal RNA", at positions 30 to 523 of the family's 1533-position model. The record is from RNAcentral.